This 465-nucleotide ribosomal RNA is filed under the name Vreelandella stevensii. RNAcentral describes it as "partial 16S ribosomal RNA". It matches the Rfam family "Bacterial small subunit ribosomal RNA", at positions 338 to 795 of the family's 1533-position model. The record is from RNAcentral. Lineage: Bacteria; Pseudomonadati; Pseudomonadota; Gammaproteobacteria; Oceanospirillales; Halomonadaceae.
CCUACGGGAGGCAGCAGUGGGGAAUAUUGGACAAUGGGGGCAACCCUGAUCCAGCCAUGCCGCGUGUGUGAAGAAGGCCCUCGGGUUGUAAAGCACUUUCAGUGAGGAAGAACGCCUGGUGGUUAAUACCCAUCAGGAAAGACAUCACUCACAGAAGAAGCACCGGCUAACUCCGUGCCAGCAGCCGCGGUAAUACGGAGGGUGCGAGCGUUAAUCGGAAUUACUGGGCGUAAAGCGCGCGUAGGUGGCUUGAUAAGCCGGUUGUGAAAGCCCCGGGCUCAACCUGGGAACGGCAUCCGGACCUGUCAAGCUAGAGUGCAGGAGAGGAAGGUGGAAUUCCCGGUGUAGCGGUGAAAUGCGUAGAGAUCGGGAGGAAUACCAGUGGCGAAGGCGGCCUUCUGGACUGACACUGACACUGAGGUGCGAAAGCGUGGGUAGCAAACAGGAUUAGAUACCCGUGUAGUC